Molecule: ribosomal RNA, 253 nt
Filed under: uncultured bacterium
Lineage: Bacteria
Description: partial 16S ribosomal RNA
Rfam family: Bacterial small subunit ribosomal RNA
Source: RNAcentral
UACGUACCGGACAAACGUUAUUCGGAAUUACUGGGCUUAAAGAGUGCGUAGGCGGCUCUGAAGGUGAGGUGUGAAAUCCCACGGCUCAACCGUGGAAUUGCGCUUCAAACCGUGGAGCUAGAGGGAGACAGGGGUGAGUGGAACUGAUGGUGGAGCGGUGAAAUGCGUUGAUAUCAUCAGGAACACCAGUGGCGAAGGCGACUCACUGGGUCUCUUCUGACGCUGAGGCACGAAAGCUAGGGGAGCAAACGGG